CGUGCAGUACACAGCGCGGCAAUUGAGUGGAUUGCAUUGAAAGAUAUUAAAACCGUUAAAAGUUACUCACACAGACGCACAGACAAAGCCAACGGUCGGUGGCAUUUUAGCCGUUUGCUUGUCGAAACGUGUUUAGUAUAUUUUCAAAUACGAACGCGUCGAGUUCGAGUGAAUUUCAAUUUGACGUCAGCGACGUGCGGUAAAAAGUCAAGAUUAAUUUUUAUUAAAAAAACAAUUACUUUUAUAAAUUUAAAUAAAAUUAUGAAAAUAAAUACUUAAAAAAGUAUUUUAUUGAAUUUUUAAUGGUUUUAAAAUAAAUUACGAUAACAAAAAACAAAUAAAUUUUACUACUUUCGCUUAAAAAUAAAGAAAACAAAGUGCUUAAAAGAUUUUUAGUGGAAUUUUACUGAAUUUAUUCACAGUUUGGCUAAAAGCUAAAAUACCAAAAGGAAAAACAAAUUUACAAAAAAAAUUCAAAAAAAACUGUGGCAGUGUGUCACGCUUGGAAUUUUUCACGUGCUGAAUUCAUUGAUUUGUAUAAAAUAUUCAACACCAACGCAAUUCGGGCAUACAUAAUAAAUUAAAUUGCUAAAAAUAUUGAAUUUUUUUUUAGUAGAAAAACGUAAUCAAAUCCAUUAGUCACAAAUACCAAGAAAUAAGUCAAAAAAAUUUACUCAAACCGAAAAGUAAAUCGAAAAACUGAGACACUAAAUUACAAAAUUGUAAUUUUAAUAGUGAAAAGAAAAAAGUAAAAAAGUAAAGGAAUUACAAAAACAAUAACACAACUUUUAGAUAAUUUAUGAGUGAAAAAUAGUGACGUAAUAUUGCGAAAUAAAUAACUAAAAUAGAAAUCGAUAACAAACAAAGCGAAACCAAAGAGCAAAAUAAAUCGCAUGAAGUGUCAACAAAAGUAAAAAGCAAAAAUAAACUUAAAAAUAUCUCAACUUCAACAAAAAAAA
Long non-coding RNA from Teleopsis dalmanni, 959 nucleotides. RefSeq lists it as uncharacterized. The record is from RefSeq and is a predicted model, not a curated record. Lineage: Eukaryota; Metazoa; Arthropoda; Insecta; Diptera; Diopsidae. The transcript has 2 exons.